GGGAGUAUAGCUCAGUGGUAGAGUGCUGCACUUAGUUUUAGCAUGCAGGAGGUCCUGGGUUCAAUCCCCAGUUCCUCUG
RNAcentral lists this transfer RNA (79 nucleotides) under Camelus bactrianus (Bactrian camel). It matches the Rfam family "tRNA". Rfam says of the family: Transfer RNA (tRNA) molecules are approximately 80 nucleotides in length. Their secondary structure includes four short double-helical elements and three loops (D, anti-codon, and T loops). The record is from Rfam by way of RNAcentral. RNAcentral also lists the same sequence under 2 other names. Lineage: Eukaryota; Metazoa; Chordata; Mammalia; Artiodactyla; Camelidae.